CGGGAAAAGCUCAAAUUUAAAAUCUGGCAGUCUUUGGCUGUCCGAGUUGUAAUCUAGAGAAGCAUUAUCCGCGCUGGACCGUGUACAAGUCUCUUGGAACAGGGCGUCAUAGAGGGUGAGAAUCCCGUCUUUGACACGGACUACCAAUGCUUUGUGAUGCGCUCUCAAA
This 169-nucleotide ribosomal RNA is filed under the name Corticiaceae sp. RNAcentral describes it as "partial large subunit ribosomal RNA". It matches the Rfam family "Eukaryotic large subunit ribosomal RNA", at positions 99 to 261 of the family's 3401-position model. Lineage: Eukaryota; Fungi; Basidiomycota; Agaricomycetes; Corticiales; Corticiaceae. The record is from RNAcentral.